Molecule: non-coding RNA, 91 nt
Organism: Tulasnella sp. 403
Lineage: Eukaryota; Fungi; Basidiomycota; Agaricomycetes; Cantharellales; Tulasnellaceae
Source: the annotation of a GenBank genome assembly
GGUCCAGUGAUGUAGUGGCUAGCAUGUUGGUCUUCGAUCGCUUUGUUCGGUUCAUAACCAAAUGUCACAGGUUCGACCCCUGUCUGGAUCG